Molecule: ribosomal RNA, 529 nt
Filed under: Microbacterium testaceum
Lineage: Bacteria; Bacillati; Actinomycetota; Actinomycetes; Micrococcales; Microbacteriaceae
Description: bacterial SSU rRNA
Rfam family: Bacterial small subunit ribosomal RNA
Source: RNAcentral
CGGUGCAGCCAAGCUUGCUAUGGUGGAUCAGUGGCGAACGGGUGAGUAACACGUGAGCAACCUGCCCUGGACUCUGGGAUAAGCGCUGGAAACGGCGUCUAAUACUGGAUAUGAGACGUGAUCGCAUGGUCGUGUUUGGAAAGAUUUUUCGGUCUGGGAUGGGCUCGCGGCCUAUCAGCUUGUUGGUGAGGUAAUGGCUCACCAAGGCGUCGACGGGUAGCCGGCCUGAGAGGGUGACCGGCCACACUGGGACUGAGACACGGCCCAGACUCCUACGGGAGGCAGCAGUGGGGAAUAUUGCACAAUGGGCGGAAGCCUGAUGCAGCAACGCCGCGUGAGGGAUGACGGCCUUCGGGUUGUAAACCUCUUUUAGCAGGGAAGAAGCGAAAGUGACGGUACCUGCAAAAAAAGCGCCGGCUAACUACGUGCCAGCAGCCGCGGUAAUACUUAUGGCGCAAGCGUUAUCCGGAAUUAUUGGGCGUAAAGAGCUCGUAGGCGGUUUGUCGCGUCUGCUGUGAAAUCCCGAGGC